This 196-nucleotide ribosomal RNA is filed under the name Escherichia coli. Its description in RNAcentral is "partial 23S ribosomal RNA". It matches the Rfam family "Bacterial large subunit ribosomal RNA", at positions 1 to 187 of the family's 2925-position model. Lineage: Bacteria; Pseudomonadati; Pseudomonadota; Gammaproteobacteria; Enterobacterales; Enterobacteriaceae. The record is from RNAcentral. RNAcentral also lists the same sequence under 1 other name.
AGUAAAUUGGUUAAGUUAGAAAGGGCGCACGGUGGAUGCCUUGGCACUAGGAGCCGAAGAAGGACGGGACUAACACCGAUAUGCUUUGGGGAGCUGUACGUAAGCGUUGAUCCAGAGAUUUCCGAAUGGGGGAACCCACUAUCUUUAGUCGGAUAGUAUCCUUACGUGAAUACAUAGCGUGAGGAAGGCAGACCCA